ACGACAUAGUGAUCUGUUUAGCCUGAGGAUGUUUAUGCUUUUGGUGCCUACAGCAGGACUGAAGCUUCAUCUCCUCGGGCAUCCAGCUAGACAAACAGUCACUGAUACAUGGGUGUGAGGAAUGAAGUGGACUGACUGCCUGUGCCUAUCCUUGUUCUGUCCCUCCCUUCUCUGCAGAGUUCAGGGGCUGUGUUCCAGCUGCACGUCCAGUAGCUGAGGCCGUACUUACGGGGAGAGUGAGGCACUUACAGUUGGGCAGCUGAAACGCUUCUCAGUUGUGAGCCCCCUGGGAGCUGACUUUCUUCAGAGACCUCUCCUCCUUGUCCUCGAGCCAGAUGACAGAGGAGUAAGAUUUCUCAUCAUGUUCCAGCUCUCCCAGCCCUGGGAGAGAAGCAGAGAGAGAUGGUAAAAUGGAGCCAAGUAUCCCAGCAUGGUUCAGUCCCAGCAGAAAGGGAAGUUUGUUGUUCUUUUUGUCAUUUUUGCUUUUUUUUCUUCUUCAGACUGGGGGUAAACAGUGUUUUCAUUUUUUUUUCUUUGUGAUCAUCCCCAUUGCUUAUGUCUGAAAUAUAAUUCUGAGAGCACCGCUGUUGUGACAAGAGGGCAAAAAUAAGCAAAUUGUAUUUGCGGAUAAGAGGCAGCAAUAAAUCCCUGAAUUUCCAAAUGCAUAGAGGAGCAUUGACUUCUAAAUACCAGAAAUUCUAAGCCCUUACCUUGCUAAUUCAUGUGGCAUCUGGAGGGGCUGUGGAUUUUUAUUUCAUCCUGGUAUUUGUGGUAUUUCCUGCCAUUAGUAUAGGAAAAAACCUUGUGUGGUAAAUGCUGGCUUUUUCCUCCGUUGGUGGCAAACAUUGGAACUUGGGUUCAUGAAAGGCAAACCAGCAUUUUCAGUUCUGAAGGAUCUCAGAGGUGCCCGGGAAGGAAAAUCUCAUUGGGGUUGAAUGAGGAUUUUGGUUCUGUGGUUGGAUGCCAGCAGAACAGCUCUGAACAGACUCAAAUCUUGUCUUCAGAUCCGGGAGUUCGGCUUAAAAUACCUUGUGUGGUUUCAAAAGCUGUAGCUUGGAAAUAGAGGUUGAGAUAAAAUUAAUAUCCAUAUUUAAAAGUAAUCUGGUUGUAAAGGCUUCAGGUACGAGUGUUGGCCCAGAGUCAGUGCCCCAGCCUUCAAAAAUUGCUGGGUUUAUUGCAGAUUGAACUGUAGAUUGGGCUGCUUAGAUUUGUAAUGGAAAAAUAUCAGCCAACAUACUUUCCUCCCCUCCACCCUCCAUCAUCGGGGCAUAUAUCAAAUUGCACUAUCUGGCAGGGAGUUCCUAAUGUUAUUUGAGAAGAGAGAGGAAUGCAAGCGAUGUCAGCAGAAAACAGCUGAGUAGCAGUUAAAUUUCUUUGGCCUGAACUUGCUCCAUAGGGAAAGAGAAACGCAACAAAUGGACUUGGUUUGUGCUGGGGUGAAACAAAACAUCCUUUGCAAACAGGCAGUGUUUGUGAGAAACUCCUCUACAGAAGUUGGGGAUAUGGGGAUGCUGUUAGAGAGACAAGCUCUGCUCUGCUGUGGAUGUGUCAGGUCUUACCUGGUUGAGGUCAACAGGGCCAACAGUGCCUAUGAUCUCUCAGUGACAGCCCCGGAGCUUGCAGGGUGCUGGCUGUUCCCAUUCCUUUGCGUGGCUGGAACCAGUUAUGUUAUGCUUCGGGUUGCAUCUCCAUGGCUUAUUGAACUUUCUAUCUGUGCUUCCUUUAAAGAUAAAAGCCUCAAGAGUUGGCUCAAGUGAGCUUGCCCAGUGCUGCAAAAGAGCAGUGGAGGUGCAUGCAAGGAUACUGUUAACUGAGAAGUUGGGCCGAGUUAAAUGGUACCCUUAAUCCCCUUGAUGUCUGGCAGAGUCAAGUUAAAAGGUCUUCCCCACUUGGGGUGAAGGCUUUGCAUGUGUAGAUGCUGGUUCACUUAAGGGCAUUGCUGCCUCUGUGGUGAAAGAACCUUCUUCUCUGCUGGCGUUUGCUUCGUUGCUGAAGGAAGGAGAAACUUCUGCAGUGUCUUGUGUCAAGUGGGGGCCUGGGCUGAAGUUUUGUUCCAUGGAGGCUUUCAACAAACAGCAAGAGACAUGGCAGAGGGCUAGAAACAGGCCAAACAGAUGAAAAUUAAAGUAAAUAUAGCCCUUGUUUUUCUUCUACAAUUACUUUUGUCUUCCUAUUCCAACUGGAUUUGCCAUGGUAUUUCCAUAGCAGAGAUCCACGUUUUUCUCCUUCACAGCUGUUGCAGGCAACAGGAGGCUGUGUUUCCCUAACACGGUUUCUUUUGGUAUUUGGGGUCUUCUUGGGGGGCCUUUCUUUCUUGACUGAUUUAGGGUUUUUUCCCUUGCUGAGUUCUUCAGUUAGUACUGUUUGUUGCCUCUGUACCAUCCUGGUGGGACAGCUUGGUCUCCUCCAGGAAGAAAACUCAGCUGUGGAAGGGAACAGAAAUUGGCUUCUAUGCUACCCUCUCCUGUUUUGUUGGAGGUCUGGGGAGAGAAGUGUAUGUGUGUACAUAAAACUACAUGCUUCAAAAAAAAUUGAGGUGUUUUUUAAAAGAUAGGAGUAGCUUUUCAUUCACAAUUGCACGCGUGACGUUGAUGUAUUGGAACAGGAUAUUCAAGAUCCUAAACAGAAUCCUACUUAGUGCUCUGCAUCUUUUGUCUCUGCAUUUCCUCUCUUCAACUCAGUUGUUGGUUCGGGAGUUACAUUUCCUGGUACAACCUUUUAAAGCACAUGUAUUUUAUUUGCAUGUAAAUUGGCAGAGGGAGGCAUCUUCCAUGUAAAUGCUGUGCUAAUCAUUACAGGUUCCAUGGUUCAUCAGGGCUUGGGUUCCUAAUUGGCUGCAGGAUUCCCAAAAGUGUCAAUAGUCUGAUUCAGAGCAAUAGGAAUUAUUGAAUCUACAUAAUAAAAGGAGUGUGAUGAAAGAUGCGGUAAGAAACUUACCUUCCAGGCCUGAAGAGAGGACAGGCUAUUCUGGGAUGGAGCCUCUUCCCAUUGCUUGGCUGCAUGAGGCUGUUAAAAGAAAAGAGAAAUUCAAAGGAGAUUUAGCAUCUUUUCUGCUAUUUCCUGUUGAACAUCAGCAGAGCGCGUUGACACCGGCAGAAGUAAUCUGACCUACGGGAACAUGCCUUGUGAGGCAGCGCCAGUGAGAGUUUGACCUCAGGCAUCCCGAUAGCGUGGUGUGUGUGCUGUGGCCGUGCUGGCUGACACCAUUUGUCCCCUGAGAGAUACAAGCCUGCAGCAGAUGUGAGGCUCAAUGUGUCAGCUCAACCUCAGGGGCAAGAAAAAGAGAAGUUGAAACUGGUUUCUUCCAUCUGAGAUGGCCACAGGCGAAGAGCAAACACACUUGGUCAAUUACCGUGGCUCAGAUGAUGCAUGGUAUUGCCAUUUUCAGGUCAAAUUUUAGAGUUAGUAGGAACUUUUCCAUGGGCUUUGUACAACAAUAUUCCACUGCGCACAGUGAGAAGUUUGAACACCCUUCGUUUCAGCGUCUAAUUUUGAGAUGAACUUGUAUCUUUCUUAAAAAAACAAAACAACAAGACCACCAAUAGCAAAAGAAAACCACCGGCCCCAAACUUUCACCUUUCUUCUCAGUAACUGAAACUCGAGUUCAUCUUUCUCUGCUUCCACGUAAUACAAGGAAAGACAUUUGAUUAGAUUAUGUGAGAUACUUUUUAAGGCAGAUGGAUUCAACACAUGGCUGCAGGACCAGGCUUUAUUAUCUCGACUAACGUGGACACAUUUUGAACACUGCUUCUCACUCUGCCAUCAGCCGCCACCACCUCUGCAGUACUGUGACAGCAAGAGAAAAAGGACAGGGAAGUGAUAAAGUUUGCACACGUAAGCAGAAAAGAACUUUCUGUCCAAAGCCAGCUGGCUUGGCUUGGCACUGAAGUGGCAUUUUAGCACAAGAUGACACGUUUAUGCGUGUACUGGAGCUAUGUUUCAAAACACUUGCCCUAGAUGCCACAGGAAGGGUCUGUGAAAUAGUUUAUCACCAAGUAACCAUAGAGAGCAGGUGAGCUGUCUGAAUACCAGUUUGUCUUCUGAGCUGGCAGACAAAUGAAACCACAGGAAGGAAUCAAAGCAAUGCUGCUGCUUUUAAUAAUUAGAAUUGAGCGUAUUUUCAGGGAAGUUUUGGGAAAGCAUGCGAUAAUCCUAUAUCACAGCCAAGAGGACAAUACGUCCAUUAAUAAAUGCCUGAUACCGUUUGCUCUGAUACAAAACUCAGAAAUGCACACCAGCCAAUCCAUGUUAACACAGGUCAUUUCUUUAAGUCUUGUUUUCCAAAUUAGAGCAAACCCCCCAGCAUAAGAUGAAUGGGCAUCUUUGCCUUUACCUGAUAAAGUGCCUGAACGAUUAGGGAGGCUGAUGGCUUCUACAGAUCCUGUGGGACACAGAUCAGUCAUCCCACGUGUAACCCCAAAGAAAUAACUGAAAAUAAAUCACAGCAACAUUUGUACUUUGGAGUCUGGAUACCAUCAUAAAAUGCCAAAAAUGCACCUUGUAUACUGCCCAAGUUUAAAGAUUAAACUUUAUUUCAGAAGUUAACUGCUAUAAAAGUUUCUUUGCUAUAUGUUGCACAUUAUAACAGAUCACGCAGACCUUCUGUGGGCUCUGUGUGUGAAGUUUACAAGACCAGGACAGUAGCAUAUGUCUCGUGUGCAAUUUGAUCAAUAGAGUUACAGCAAAACAGAUCAAGUCUAGGAAAAAUAAUGCUUAGAUUUACAUGUUAAGAGCAGCACUUGCUGUCUGCAGUGGGAGCCAAGGAUGCUCUGAGCAAGACACAAUUACCUGCCUUUCAAGAGUUCCACAAGUCAUUUGUCACGAGGUCCCACCAACUUCACAUCUACUUUAAAAAGCAGUUUGAAGACUUUUUAGGUAUUAUGGUCUCCUAUAUCUAUUUCUGUCUCUUUUGUUUCCUAACAGCAUGAGAUACUGACCACACAUACUGCAGUCAAAUAUAGAAAUUAAACCUACAGGAAAAAGGAUGUCUUCUCUUUAAUCUCUUGGAGAAUUUUCCAGACUAAAGCAUAGUUCUUAAAUUGAUAAUAUCCCUUUAAGAAUUUAUUUGCCAGGUAAUGUUAGAAGAAAAAAGAGAUUAGGGCUAGUUUGAACAUUAGAAAGGCCCUUUUUAAAAUCAAUUUCAAGUCUGUAUUAGAGAUGAGCGUUGUCUGAACAUGCUUCCAACAGAUAAAAUAUAUUCUGCACCUUAGGAACGCAAAUAACUUGAAAAUCCUUGAGACUCCCAGCUCUUUGCAAAAAGGUCAAACUCUAUCCUAAGAAAUAUUUCAUUGCAUAGAAAUAAUGGUUUAGUGUUGCCGUAUAUGAAAGUCAGAAUCUGUAAGGCUACGAAGUUAAUAACAGAUCAAGGGCUGAAGUUUUUGAAUAAUGUAGUAAAUAUUUCUUAAAUGAGUGAAAUGAUACGAUACCACGGGAAGAGAGAAAUGCGUUUUAAUAAAGAAAAUAUUGAAUGUAAGAAUAUUUCUUUAGAUCUACCAUGCAAUCUGUGUGUUCUCUAUGAGAUGUCAAACUACACGGUGCAUAUGUACACUGCGCUCUCUAUAAAUAUACAUGUGCAUGACAUAUUUCUGAAGGCAGUAAAUGAAUGCUGGGGAAAUACGGCAACAAUGAAGUUCCUAAGAGAAGGUUAGUUUUUCAAGUUAUUAAAAGAAGGUGGCAAGCAUUCAUGAGGAUAUGAAAAUUUAAAGCUGUCUGCAGGAAACUCUGAAAACCUCUGGUUAAGGCUGCUGCCAAAAAAUCUCAGCUAUGUUAUGUCAGAAUAUUUAAUUGCAAGCUGCAAUUUUAAUGAAUGGAAAGAUAUGGCAAAAGGAGGAAGUUUUCUGCAGCAACACAGAACAGCCAUGAAAAUAAAAUGCCAAAGGUUGUAAUCUUGGACGCUGUAGGAAUCAGGAAUUUCCAUCCACGUUCUGACUCCUUUUCCUACUGUGAGAGUUUGCCAGCUGCCUGGCUGAAGGGAGGUAAGCUGUUCUGGAUAUCAUCUCCUGGGCUCAAGGCAGCACUUGUUAUGUCUAUGUGAAGAAGUCAACUUCUGUGCAUUUGUUGUUACGGAUGUUUACCGAAAUGCAGCUUAGGAAUAGGAGAGGAAAAGCAAAUGUCAGAGUGCAUUAAAUAACGUAUUUUCUUUACUUUCCAAGAAGCUUGCUAGCAGCAUGAUGUUACUAUUUAUAACAGAUCUCUUAAACCCAGCUGUUGGUUCAUGUUAACAUGGAGAAUGGUGAGAAAACCCCAGCAGAAGAGUGUGAAUCCCAGAGAGACUUGUCUUCUGUCAUUGUGAAGACCUAGAAAAUAUCCCAAGUUUUGCUGAGAAUAAAGACAAAAAAAGCUCUUUUCUGGAAUAUAAGAAAUAUUUGAAAAGGAAGAGUGGGGAGCAGCCACGGUACUUCACUCUGGAGUGCUUUGUGAGAAGGUCUGAGGAUAACACAUUGGAGGCUCAACGUGUUCCCAUCCAGCGGUGCGCUGAGCACGACUGGAGGUGGUGGUGUGUCACUUUCUGACCAUUUUGGGACCUGACUGUUUGUAGCCCAUCGGUGAGUCUCUGUUUUCCAGUGGCUGCAGCUCUAAUUCUCACGUCCCAGAGCAGAGCUGGGUGCUGCUGCCCCACAGAUACCGCUGCGGUGCUCAGCUCUGCGUUCUGCACUCUUUGCCACAUGCUGCCGGACAAGAGGCAGAGCACAACUAACUUCUUUGGCAAGUAACUUUUUAGUGGGAGAAUUUUAUUCUGGGGUGCUCAGCUGCUGCCUUCUGUUGUGGGGGAGAGAUGCCAGUUUUGUAGUGGCUUUGGUUAGCAGUUGCUCUUUACUCUUUAAAGCAAAAUUAAUGGCAAAUAUGCCACGCUGCGCAGGGCGAAGGUGAGAACGUUGGGCCUUCGUGGGUUCCUCAGCCGAAGCUGUCCUUGAGGCAGCUCUGCGGGCCGCAGCCCCUCUUCCUGGGGCUGGACGGGGGCCUACAGGCCGUGACGAGGCGG
This is a long non-coding RNA of Gallus gallus (chicken), 6982 nucleotides long. The record is from Ensembl. Lineage: Eukaryota; Metazoa; Chordata; Aves; Galliformes; Phasianidae.